AUUUCAGUCUCACACAAAAUCAAUGAUAACAGAUUUUGAAAUCUUGGAGUUUCCCAUGAGGUAUAUCUCAGGUUGCUGUGGGAGUGUAACUGAUGCACCUCAUUAGAGUUUGAGAUUGUGUUUGUUGUGUUUCCUGAGGAUGACACAGUUCAUGAUUUCUCAGAAGUGCAGGAGAAGCAGACAGAAGGAAUUCGAAGCAAGAAUGAUCAUUAAGCAUCAACCACUGGAUUGGUAGAUUGGUUUUCUUUACUUCCUUAAUAAUAUAUGGACAUAAACCAAAAUCUUACAUCUUCAACAUUGGUAUUUUUGGCAAACAUAAAAAACAGACUAACACAAAAACAGGUGGAGGGAAUACCAAUUGCCGGGUCCACAAAAUCAAAUAUUUUUUAUCUUACUGCCACAAAACCCUAAUCCCCACAUCAUUAAAAUGUUUGUUUCUCUUCUUUCCUUCAUACAAGCUUGGUCCACUUGGUAGAUGGUUCAUUUCUUUUCAAUAGCUAUGGUAAUGUUUUUAUUUGUAGGAUGAGAGGGAAAGAAGUCCACUUUCCUCUUACUUUUCAUUGUAUGCAAAAUUUCUUCAGAUACUACAGUGGUGGUGAUUUGGGCAUAUUUUCUUCUGUAUUACUCAGCAUGGAACACGGUCUUGAUCCUUCCUAGUUAUAUUCAUCAUUAGCAACAUAUCAGUGCAUAAAUGACCUGAAAUGAAUGCUGUUGCCACUGAAUGGAUAAUAGAAUAAACAGGUGGGAAAGCAUACCCUUGGCAAGCAUUGAUUGCUUUUUCAAGAUAUUGUCAUAAACAAUGUCCACAGUAACUACACUAAAAGGUUACAAUACAAGUUAGUGAGGCAGCAUGAUACAAACUAUUUUCAACAUAGUCUAGAAUAUUAUUGAUGAACUAUAAUGAAGGAGAGUUUGUUUCCUCAGUGAUCUCAUUAGUUUCUGGCUUGUUUACAAGCACAUCAAACCAAAGAAACCUUGUCUUAGGAACUAAGUGGUCUUCAGUUUGCCUUGCCCUCGAAAUGAAACUACCCUCUAAUAGAUUUCCUCAGCCCUGACCUCAUCAAGAGAGAACAGAGAUGUGCUGGAACAUAAGGGGAAUAUUAGAC
This is a long non-coding RNA of Meleagris gallopavo (turkey), 1106 nucleotides long. RefSeq lists it as uncharacterized. The record is from RefSeq and is a predicted model, not a curated record. Lineage: Eukaryota; Metazoa; Chordata; Aves; Galliformes; Phasianidae.